GCGCCGUUAGCUCAAUAGGCAGAGCAGCUGACUCUUAAUCAGCGGGUUCGGGGUUCAAGUCCCUGACGGCGCA
Molecule: transfer RNA, 73 nt
Organism: Actinospica robiniae DSM 44927
Lineage: Bacteria; Bacillati; Actinomycetota; Actinomycetes; Catenulisporales; Actinospicaceae
Rfam family: tRNA
About the family: Transfer RNA (tRNA) molecules are approximately 80 nucleotides in length.
Source: Rfam